This 606-nucleotide ribosomal RNA is filed under the name Triticum aestivum (bread wheat). Its description in RNAcentral is "partial small subunit ribosomal RNA". Lineage: Eukaryota; Viridiplantae; Streptophyta; Magnoliopsida; Poales; Poaceae. The record is from RNAcentral.
AUGAAACACCAGGCUGACAAGAAGCGUUCAGCCCGGACAUUUCAAGUGGGCGAUCAGGUAUACUUGAAGCUGCAACCAUACAUUCAGACAUCGGUUGCCCCCUGUACCAACCACAAGCUGUUGUUUAAGUUCUACGGACCGUUCUCAAUCAUCCGCAAGAUCAAUGACGUGGCCUACGAACUCCAACUGCCGGCUUAUUCCACGGUGCACCCGGUUUUCCAUGUAUCGCAACUCCGCCAAGCUCUUCUACCAGGUACUGCUGUUACUCCCGUGCUCCCUGUUUGCACUGAUGAUUUGAUGGUGCCUGUGGAGAUCCUUCAAACAAGAUGGCACAAGAGAAAAGGGACGGUGGUCGAGCAAGUCCAAGUUCGCUGGUCCAACCCUUCAACCAUGGGUGUCACCUGGGAGGAUAAAGAAGCCCUUCACGCUCGUUUUCCUCUGACAGCGACUUGGGGGCAAGCCGCUGGUCAAGGAGGGAAGGAUGUCAGCGUCUCUGACGUGGACCCAGCCCAUGGUGCACGGCCCAAGCGUGCACGCGUGGCCAACAAGCGAGUGCUGGGCCCGGAGUGGGUGACAGCGGCCCAGUCCCACACGGCGACUACUUAA